GCUGCAGGAAGAUACUGAACUGUUCCACAUUUCCCUGUUUGGUCAAGAAACCUGCCAGACAUUUGUGUCUGUCAACAUCAUUGAUAAUGAUGUUUCUAUCCCACAGUGGUCCGAAUGGGCUGAUGAUGGAACCUGCUCUACAACCUGUGGAUCUGGGUUACUGAUGCAGUCUCGGACACGGAACUGUACUGGUGCCUGCCCAGCUGAGUUUACACCAGUGGAGACGAGAACCGUCAUUUGUAGUAAUUCUCCAUGUCCAGUUAUCAGUGAGUGGACCGAAUGGGCUGAUAAUGGAACUUGCUCUACAACCUGUGGAUCUGGAUCACUGAUGCAGUCUCGGACACGGAACUGUACCCAAUCUACCUGUUGCCCAACCGACUUUACAUCAAAUGAGACGAGAACAGUGGAGUGUGAGCUUUGUUCCU
Molecule: long non-coding RNA, 425 nt
Organism: Haliotis rubra (blacklip abalone)
Lineage: Eukaryota; Metazoa; Mollusca; Gastropoda; Lepetellida; Haliotidae
Exons: 3
Source: RefSeq, a predicted model, not a curated record